Molecule: ribosomal RNA, 397 nt
Filed under: uncultured bacterium
Lineage: Bacteria
Description: bacterial SSU rRNA
Rfam family: Bacterial small subunit ribosomal RNA
Source: RNAcentral
AUUAAACGCUGGCGGCAUGCCUUACACAUGCAAGUCGAACGGCAGCACGGGGGCAACCCUGGUGGCGAGUGGCGGACGGGUGAGUAAUGCAUCGGAACGUGCCCUGAAGUGGGGGAUAACGCAGCGAAAGCUACGCUAAUACCGCAUAUUCUGUGAGCAGGAAAGCAGGGGAUCGCAAGACCUUGCGCUUUGGGAGCGGCCGAUGUCGGAUUAGCUAGUUGGUGGGUAAAGGCCUACCAAGGCGACGAUCCGUAGCGGGUCUGAGAGGAUGAUCCGCCACACUGGGACUGAGACACGGCCCAGACUCCUACGGGAGGCAGCAGUGGGGAAUUUUGGACAAUGGGCGGAAGCCUGAUCCAGCCAUGCCGCGUGAGUGAAGAAGGCCUCGGUUGUAAGA